AAUAUUGGACAUUGGGCGAAAGCCUGAUCCAGCCAUGCCGCGUGUGUGAAGAAGGUCUUCGGAUUGUAAAGCACUUUAAGUUGGGAGGAAGGGUGGUAGGUUAAUACCCGUCAAUUUUGACGUCACCAACAGAAUAAGCACCGGCUAACUUCGCUCGUGCAGCCGCGGUAAUAUGAAGGGUGCAAGCGUUAAUCGGAAUUACUGGGCGUAAAGCGCGCGUAGGUGGUUCGUUAAGUUGGAAGUGAAAGCCCCGGGCUUAACCUGGGAAUUGCUUUCAAAACUGACGAGCUAGAGUACGGUAGAGGGUAGUGGAAUUUCCUGUGUAGCGGUGAAAUGCGUAGAUAUAGGAAGGAACAUCAGUGGCGAAGGCGACUACCUGGACUGAUACUGACACUGAGGUGCGAAAGCGUGGGGAGCAAACAGG
Molecule: ribosomal RNA, 424 nt
Filed under: uncultured bacterium
Lineage: Bacteria
Description: partial 16S ribosomal RNA
Rfam family: Bacterial small subunit ribosomal RNA
Source: RNAcentral